AACGAACGCUGGCGGCAUGCCUGACACAUGCAAGUCGAACGAUGCUUUCGGGCAUAGUGGCGCACGGGUGCGUAACGCGUGGGAAUCUGCCCCUUGGUUCGGAAUAACUCAGAGAAAUUUGAGCUAAUACCGGAUGACGACGAAAGUCCAAAGAUUUAUCGCCGAGGGAUGAGCCCGCGUAGGAUUAGCUAGUUGGUGGGUAAAGGCCUACCAAGGCGACGAUCCUUAGCUGGUCUGAGAGGAUGAUCAGCCACACUGGGACUGAGACACGGCCCAGACUCCUACGGGAGGCAGCAGUGGGGAAUAUUGGACAAUGGGCGCAAGCCUGAUCCAGCAAUGCCGCGUGAGUGAUGAAGGCCCUAGGGUUGUAAAGCUCUUUUACCCGGGAUGAUAAUGACAGUACCGGGAGAAUAAGCUCCGGCUAACUCCGUGCCAGCAGCCGCGGUAA
This 448-nucleotide ribosomal RNA is filed under the name uncultured bacterium. RNAcentral's name for it is "partial 16S ribosomal RNA". It matches the Rfam family "Bacterial small subunit ribosomal RNA", at positions 29 to 523 of the family's 1533-position model. The record is from RNAcentral.